CCUGGGGCAGCACGCGAUUACUACAGGCUGCCCCAGCCGUGGGCAGCGGUAGGCCGCACAAGCAGCAGGCGACCUCCUCCACUUCAAGCUCGCAUCUGGAUUUGCAGCCGAUGAUGCGAAGGGGAGCGACCUAGGCAUGCCCGACCCGGACCAUGACGAUGCACAACAAAAGUCUCAGGCCCGCCUUGGAGAUGGUGCCAGGAUUGCCUGCCGUUCACGCUCUCCCUCUUAGCCACUACCGAUCGUCUAGCAAGGUCUCGACGAAUUACAUGAUAUAAGCUGCAAGAUGUGAUUUUGGAUGUUGUUCCCUGACCACUUCUUGGACCGUGCUCUACAUGUCGAGCACCCAACAAGAGGGAGAGGAGGAGCGCAUCCAUGCUCGAACUCGGAGAUGGGAAAGCAGGAAGACGGUAAAUAUGAGCUUGUGUGCACUGGACUUGCAGCUCUACAUGCUCUCAUGUAGACUCCGUGUGUUUAUACAAUAUGGGACACUCGUGGCGGAAUGUGGCAAGCUUGUGCAAACCUCAUGCUGGUAGAAAGGAAGACAAUUUAAAUUCUGGAACUACAAAGAUCAUGUUCAAGAAAUACAGGAGUACAAAGCAAGAGGAUGUGCUCAGCUUCUCUCUGACUUAUUAUGCUUACAUGUCUUUCUGAUUGUCCUGAGCUCCUGUCAUCGAAGCCUUUCACUUUCUAGCCAUCACCUGGUGGUUGGAGGCUACAAAUAAUGAUGCCGCACCGUGGGGAAUAUAAACUGCUUGCCAUCAGGUCGGGAACACCAAACUCCAACCUUAUGGAAGAGACAAAUCAUAUGAUUUGUCGAUCCCCUGUAGAAGAGGACCCUGAAUGCGGAGAAGUUUUCAUUUUGCCCUUUUGUUUGGGUCAACCAUAUGGUUGGAGCGAGAUUCCUUUCUAUUUAUGCCUACAUGAUCUUUGAUGAAAAUACGAGUGGGCAAUAGAGAAAUAUUGAGGUUGUUUCUCAUGUUGUUCAGUAUGCAAUAGUUUAUUCAGAACUACCAAUGUGCCUCCAGGCAUGAUUGCUGAUACGAGUACGGUGUAUAGAUAUACAAAUGACUGAAUUACCAUGCUAUCUAUUUUUGGGAGCUCAUUUGUGUCUCAAUGAAGCAAAAGGAUGGAGUUUCUGGUUCACAUACAUCCUGCUCUCUUAAUCAGCGGAAAAAAAUGAUGAUUGCAAAUUUUGAAGGCUUAUAUAUUGGUUGUUCAUGUGUACUGCCACAUCUCAUAUGUUGCAGUGGUGUUUCAGCAGAAUGGGAAGGUACCACUCGAGCACGUUCACUCGCAGAUUGUUGUAGUGGGGUUUCAGUACAAAAUCCAAUACAAGCGAGAUAGCUAACUGCACCAAUCAGUUA
Molecule: long non-coding RNA, 1367 nt
Organism: Lolium rigidum
Lineage: Eukaryota; Viridiplantae; Streptophyta; Magnoliopsida; Poales; Poaceae
Exons: 11
Source: RefSeq, a predicted model, not a curated record